RNAcentral lists this ribosomal RNA (216 nucleotides) under Triticum aestivum (bread wheat). Its description in RNAcentral is "partial small subunit ribosomal RNA". Lineage: Eukaryota; Viridiplantae; Streptophyta; Magnoliopsida; Poales; Poaceae. The record is from RNAcentral.
AUGGCUCCUUCGUGCAAGAGCUCCUUCGGCUACAAUGGAAGGCAACGGUGCCCGUCCGACAGCUACGGCGCGGUGUUCCAGCACACCGGCAACCAGUAUUGGCUCGACACUUUCACGUUGGCCAACAUUGUCGCCCGUGCGUACGACGUCGCAGUGUGGAGUCUUGCCCCCUGCUCGAAGCUCAGCCUGGAGAGUGGGACUUGGGCGGAUGUGUAG